Molecule: long non-coding RNA, 360 nt
Filed under: Homo sapiens (human)
Lineage: Eukaryota; Metazoa; Chordata; Mammalia; Primates; Hominidae
Description: non-protein coding lnc-C8B-3:1
Source: RNAcentral
AUGACUUUUAAAAAUACCGGAAAAACACUCAUGGAGCCGGAGGUGGCAAUUCACCAAAUUUGCAUCACUUUAAGGAGCUGCAGUGUAAAAUCCCAGGAGAUGGUAUGUGCUGACUUGAUCAGAGGAGCAAAGGAAAAGAAUAUCAAAGGGAAAGGACCAGUUUGAAUACCUACCAAGAUUCUGAGAAUCACUACAAGAAAAACUCCUUGUGGUGAAGGUUCUAAGACAUGAGGUCGUUUCCAGAUGAGAAUCCACAAGUGACUCUUUGACUUGCACAGUCCUUCUGAGAUUGUUAAGCAGAUUACUUCCAUCAGUACUGAGCUAGGAGUUGAAGUGGAAGUCACCGUUGCAGAUGCUUAA